Long non-coding RNA from Penaeus vannamei (Pacific white shrimp), 602 nucleotides. RefSeq lists it as uncharacterized. NCBI's taxonomy places the organism in Eukaryota, Metazoa, Arthropoda, Malacostraca, Decapoda, Penaeidae. The record is from RefSeq and is a predicted model, not a curated record.
UUUUUAUCCGAAGAGAUCUGGACGUUAUGUAACCGCCUUGUGAACCGUAUAUUUUGAGGCGCGAAGCUGAAGGCCAGCCAGUGUUCGUCUGACCUCUGUCGGAUGCUGUUGACCAUGGGGAGGAAGGCAUUUUUUCUUUGCUUUCUGGUGCUUUUGUCCCUCGCCAUGUUGACGGCCGCUCAUCCAAGAGUGUCACCGAGGGGCGGUCCCUGCGUGUGCCAUAAGCCCCCUUGCCCGUGCGAGCCGGCGCCGCUCUUCCCUUCGCCCGCCUCAGUCCUAGGAGAUGACAGCUCGCCUUUCCCCUGAGAACGCUACUGCGAACUUAGAAGAUUAUUCAAGAUCAGGGGGGGAGUUAUUUUUUUGAAAUCCUCAUUUUCCUAAUAUUAAUUUCCUUUGUAACUUCAUAGCCAUUAUUAUUUUUUCUUGUCUUACUGUUAUUAUUCAGUAUCAUUAUUUUUCAUGAUUAUCUUCGAUUUUGUAUUGUUUUUGUGACAAGGGAAUUUAGUGCUAUGCAUAUACAAGCAACAUUCUGUCAAGAAGACAAAAUAAUCAUUUGUUUAUGCAUGAGCUUGUGUGAUAAUAUAUAUAUUUUACACUAAAAA